GACAUUUUCACUCACGACUGAGCUGUGCAAAGGAAGACGGGGAAAUAUCACUGACCUGGAAAAAGUGAAGACACUCCAGAGAGACACGGUGCCCCUCCCAUCAGGUACCGGAAACGGAAGCAGACACACCAGAAACAAUUCGAAUCCCUUGGGGAAUUUCCUGCAGGCAGAGGGCAGAGGCUGAAGCCUGGCGCUGGCAGGAGGAGACCUUGGCUCCCACAAAAGCCUCACAGAGUUUUGGUCUCUCUUCAGAUUACCUCACAGGAGACCCUGGAGCAGAGGCCACGAUGGCUCAGUGUGGGCCUGGCCUCGCCUCACUCAGGACGCUUAGCUUUGCACACUGCUUGCUUUCUAUUGCAAAGGAACCCUCAUGUAAGGACCCUGCGUGUGGGGUGGGGUAACCUGGGACCCCCAUUAGUUCUCCUCUUCCCAGUGUGCUGACUUGAAUUAUUUCUUCUUUCUCUGGU
Molecule: long non-coding RNA, 467 nt
Filed under: Rattus norvegicus (Norway rat)
Lineage: Eukaryota; Metazoa; Chordata; Mammalia; Rodentia; Muridae
Description: long non-coding RNA NONRATT007267
Source: RNAcentral